GACGGGACCCGCACAAGCGGUGGAUGAUGUGGAUUAAUUCGAUGCAACGCGAAAACCUUACCUACGCUUGACAUGUCAGGAACCUCGAAGAGAUUUGAGGGUGCCCGAAAGGGAACCUGAACACAGGUGUUGCAUGGCUGUCGUCAGCUCGUGUCGUGAGAUGUUCGGUUAAGUCCGCUAACGAGCGCAACCCUCGCUGUAUGUUACAUGUGUCAUACAGGACCGCCGGUAUCAAGCCGGAGGAAGGUGGGGAUGACGUCAAGUCCGCAUGGCCUUUAUGUCCGGGGCUACACACACGCUACAAUGGUCGGUACAAUGGGUUGCUAAGCCGCGAGGUGGAGCCAAUCCCCCAAAGCCGGCCUCAGUUCAGAUUGCAGGCUGCAACUCGCCUGCAUGAAGCUGGAGUUGCUAGUAAACGCGCGUCAGCUAUAGUGCGUUGAAUACGUUCUCGGGCCUU
Molecule: ribosomal RNA, 457 nt
Filed under: uncultured Rhodocyclaceae bacterium
Lineage: Bacteria; Pseudomonadati; Pseudomonadota; Betaproteobacteria; Rhodocyclales; Rhodocyclaceae
Description: bacterial SSU rRNA
Rfam family: Bacterial small subunit ribosomal RNA
Source: RNAcentral